UCGUCUCACUCCCGCACCAGCCGCCACACAACCCUAGGCCUCCUUGCACUUCGUUCCCCGCUCGCUCGUCCCUCGGUUCUCCUCAUCCCUCCUCUGCUCCGGCUGCUACGCCGCCUCUCCCUCCACAACACGACCAGCUCGAGCUCCACCUCCUCCAUCUCAAGGAGAUGACUGCACGACUGCACAAGACGUUCGGCGCUGUCACCAUCGUCCUCGACACGAGUGAAGCACGGGAUGCUUGCUGCAUCGCCGUCGUCCUUUCUUUCGCUGCCACCACCACCCCGACCGAGCCAUCCCCGUUCUCUCGUUGAGCCUUCUCCUCCGGGCUCACCGACCCAGGUGGCGGAGAAGGAGAGGGUGAGCUCGAGGGACAGGCAAGGGAGGAGGGCGUGACGGGGUCGGAUCUGGUGGUGGCAGAUUUGAGCUCGAGCUCGAGGCGGAGACAAGGAAGGUCGGAAAAUGAAGAGAUGGGAUGAAGGUGCUCGAGGCGAAGGACCGCUCAUCGGCGAGCUCUAGCUGGAGGCGGCGAGAUCCCUCUCCCAAUCUCUCAUUCUCUCGAUUUUCCCCUCUCCAAACCUUCAUCUAUGUUCUCGCGCAUUGCACACGUCUGCUCUCCCUCACCACAACCAGCGUCGGCAGCCUGCAUCCCCCGUCAAGCGUGCAUCGGCGCUAGAUGUGCAAGCUUCAACGACCGCAUCAACAACGAUGGUGGGCAGGCAAGGAGUGAGAUGGCGGUCACGAUUUUCAGUCUGAAGUUGCUUUUAUGAACUUUCAGUCAAUGUUAGCACUGAAUAUAUAUGGUAUUUCUUCUGCACCGAGCCGGAUAGUUUAGCUGAUAAUUUUUUCGUUCUGCAACCAAGUAGUGGAAGAUAAUGGUAACCAAGGCCACCUUUGUUGACCACGAUCCAGUUGUCUGUUAUAUUCUGUGUUUUCAUUUCCUUCCAUUAACAUGGCAUUAUGUGUUCUUAUUCAGCUUGCUUGUGGAAAAACUGGUUCUCGUUCAGUUAUGCCUGUCAGUCUGAUAGAAGAUGGACACCCCUCUUCAAGUUGGUUUAUGGGCUUGCGGAGUGUGAGAAGUAAGUUACUACUGGAUCCACUUUCUUGUCACUAGCCUUGCUUGACAUGUUCAUUUCUCACGCUACACUUACCAUCAGAAUCAUGUGAUUACAUGGAGAUAUACAUCAGUGCUUGGCAGUUAUUAACAUUAUGGACGAAACUUCUAAUUAUCUUGAUUAUCUUGCUGCCACUAACUGUGUUGUACUGAUAACACUGAUAGGCUUAACUGAUGUAUUCAGGUAUAGCUGUCAAUAACUUUUAUCUUGACUUCUCAGAAAUUGUUCCCUAGCAAUCGAAUGAUUAUGUAUUGCAUGGUUUGAUUUCUCAAAUCAUUCUGUGGUAUGCACGGUUCAAAUUUUCCAUUUGGACAACAGAGCUAGCCCACAGUGGUAGUAAAAAGUGGACUACUCUUUUUAUGACUGACCUAUGCGUGUUAUUCACAUUACGACGGACUGUUCUAGCUGUAAUUAGGAAUUUGGUGUUCUUGUCGAUCUUGUCUGCUUUUGUCGUGGAUACUGCCUCUAAACUUCAGGUGGGUUGUAUUGCUGAUGCCUUGGAAUAUGUAUUUUGAUGUGAACUAAUGUCUCUUGUGUGUGCUCCAGUGUUGAUCUUUUGGGACUAAUUUGUUGUAACUGUUUAUACUGAUGCUUCAUUAGUUGCAUAAGCAUAUAUGAUUCUGUGAGCAAAUUAUCUUCACUGAUCUAUUUUAGAGAGAUGUCUGAUUAGCUGCACAAGCAUACAUGGUUCCGUAGGUAAUUUGUUUACCCUGAUCAUCUUGCUAUCCAGUUCUGUUGGUAUGGUCUGAAACAGAUUCACAAGUAUUUAUGAUGAUUGUUUGCAUGGUGGGUCAUGCUAGCAAUGUGCUUUGCAUAUACACGAUUCAAAUAUUUGUUAGGUGUUUUAGUUUACACAUUUCUCCUGAAAAUCUAUAUAUGUGUAUGCAGUCAUUUUUGAAUUGGCUAUGAUUCUUUUUAGUGUUUUAGUUUACACAUUUCUCUUGAGAAUCUUCAUAUCGAACUGUAAUAGUAUGUAUAAUAUAGGUUUGUAAUUUUUCCAUUACUUGGUUCUUGCCCAGGUCUUCUGUUUCUAUACCAUACUGUUCUCGUGUCAUUCCUGGUAGUUCUUGUAGGGCCUACAGAUCAGCUCAGUUUAUAUAUAUAUGCUUUUACUCCUGAAGACAGUUUAAUGAUGUUUAUUCUUCUAGUUUACGAAAAUCUCUGCCUUAUAGGGCCGGUUCAUAUUGACAUGGAGGAGGCAUAGAGGGUUAUUGCUUCUGUUUGUGGGCUGGCCUUGAGGGGGAGACCAAAGCAAACAUCAACAUGUUCAAGGUGCAUAUACUCUGCUACUUGUGUUCGUCUCCCUACCUAAUGUGGAGCAUUAUACAUUUUGCUCAAUAUAGUUAGUUACUUAGUUUACUGGAAGUUGUGAUAGUCAGAGCGCAUACAUGCUUGAUUUUACUUCAGUUAGUAGCUGUAUCCAGUAGGAACUUAUUUGCGAAAACUAGACCUGGAGAAAGUAUGCAGCCCUGUUUUGUGCAGAUAACUACUUUUGGUUACAUACUGUUGGCAAAUUUAGUAGGCUUAUACAAUAAGCUUCUUCAUUGAUUUUGUUAUUCGUAAACCUGUAGUUACGGAGAUCCAUGAGUUUCAUCGAACAUAUAAACGCUGGUGGGCAACCCGCCGUUCUAGGGGCCUUCGCGCGCGCACGAUCGCUGGCUGUUCGAUUAGCUUCUUUAAUCGUUUUUCAGCCUCGAAUUUUACCAUUCACUUCUAUCUUUUGUUACAACUUUGGCUGCUUUACCGGGUGGCUGCCAUUGGGCCCAUAAAAUCAUUGGUCCAUGCGGCAGCGGAGUGCUCGUCAACUCGGUCUGUGACCGCCCGUAAAAAAAACCUAGAUCGUCUAAUACUAUCUCUAUGGGGAUAUGUCUGAAGCUUCAGUAUGUUUUCCCCCUAACAGUAUUUAAUCUAACCAGUGGUGCAUCAGGUACUAGAUUGUGGUGAGAAAAUCGAACUACUCGUUGAUAAAGACAGCAUGCUCGCUCACAUGUAUUGUGGUUUCGCACUCAUAAAUCAGUACUUGGGCAUUGUCUUUGUUUUAUAUAUAUAAGAAUGUUAUCAUCAAAAACUGUAAUAUCUCUACUAAUAAACUUUAUGGAAGUGCACCACCAACUGAAUGAGGAGAGAGCUAUCUUCAACUGAUGAUUCCACCCCUUUUUACAUAACACUAGCUGCUGCACAGUAAAAAUUGUCUCGCAGAUGCUCUUUAUGACACAAACUGACAGAUUAAUGAGUGCACUCAUGGAGAACAUAACAAGGUAUUUUAGGAAGUGCUUGGACUAGGUUCAAAUUUUUGACAGUCUUAGGCUUUCUGAAAUACAGCCAUGGGAUGACCCGCCCUCCCGAGCGAUCGAGCGAUUUCACGUCGUUCUGGCCGUUUGAUCUCUCCUGGUCGGGUCAACGCGGCCUGUCGGCCGCCCCUUUUUUGCUGCAUGUUUUGACCGAGGGAAUCGAGUGUGGGCUACGAUGACUGGUGGGCUCGCCGGGUUCUUCCAUUGGCUGGGUUCGAAGUUCUCGUGUGCCCACUCCUAGCGCAUCGCGUGGCUCAUCCCGCGCUGACCGCGGCGUGCGUGUGUUCUGUACAAAGCUUGUUUAGUUCUCUAAAACCUGCACAUGUUAGAUACAGUUUGCGAGAACAUGUGCAGAUUUGUGAGAACUAAGAAAACUUUUCCCCAGAACAUGUCCAUUGAUAGUAAGAUCGUUUGCCAUAGUGAAAGGAGGCAAUGCGUUUGAUAUAGCUUGUCAUGAGAUAAUGAAACAAUAGUGUUUAUUUGGUCACCAGCAAGAUGAUGAUGUGAAGAAUGACUAUUUGCGUCUUUCAGAGUUUCUACCAUUAAAUAGUUUCCCAUAACAGAAUAUUUGCUAAUAUUGGUAGCUAAAAAUGAGAUACUUAUGCUUGUUGACGCUUUCCCUUUUUGUAGUAACAUCCAUGUGUCCAGCAUAUGUAGAAUAUUGGAUUUUUCUUGGCUAUUUAUUGUAGUUCGUUCUUAGGGUUUGGAAAAUUCUUUAGGUAUAUUCCUUGUCUCAAGCGAGCAUGAGUAAUAUCUUCUUUAUGCUGCGUGCCGCCAAGUUUCUCUAUUUUAGAUGGUAGUAUCUUUUCGCUUCUAGAAAGGGAUAUGUAUUUUAUUAAUCUGACUAUAAUUUGUGGUAGGUACAUACUGAAGGAUGUUCUGAGGCUAGCACCUGGUUUAGAAGUUUUGCAGUUCACAACAAUACCUCAUAAUUUUGAUUUGAUGUCCAGAAUGUCAACUGAGGAAUGAGCCUAUGAACUGCAUUGUAUUUUGUAAUAUAUCCUUAUAUAUGGUGCUUGUGGCAUUUUUUUUGCAAUUAUAAGUUUACAUUUAUGGGUAUUUACAGAGUCCCCCUUUCUUUUUCCACAAGUGGCAGUAGUUGUGCCAUUCGAUUUGAAGGACAAAGAGUUGAUCACAAAGGGGUAGCAUUCAGGAUAUAUACACAAGAGUAUAGAACCAAAUUAUAUGAUGUAAUUGACCACUAUUUCUAUUAACUUUUCUUGUACACAAUGUUCACGAGUUCGUGUACAUUUUAUUGUGUCACUUGUGUUUACUUUUUUUUAAUGCAAGUUUACAGCUACUCGGAGU
RNAcentral lists this long non-coding RNA (4711 nucleotides) under Triticum aestivum (bread wheat). RNAcentral describes it as "long non-coding RNA (TAES_LNC022755)". The record is from RNAcentral. Lineage: Eukaryota; Viridiplantae; Streptophyta; Magnoliopsida; Poales; Poaceae.